AUCCCUCUGACCGCGACAGGUUCCCCGGCGACGGGGGAUGAAAAGGGAACGGGGAGAACCCCGGCUGCCCCUGCAACUGUAAGCGGCGAGCCAUCGUGCCAUCAUGCCAUUGGGAUCCCGGUCCCGAGAAGGCGGCGCGAAGGGCUGUGACCCGUGAGCCAGGAGACCUGCCCGUCGCAGUCGUCUUUC
This 189-nucleotide non-coding RNA is filed under the name Sphingomonas sp. RNAcentral also lists the same sequence under 1 other name. The record is from RNAcentral. Lineage: Bacteria; Pseudomonadati; Pseudomonadota; Alphaproteobacteria; Sphingomonadales; Sphingomonadaceae.